AUUGGCAGCCAUAUCACCCUGUAGCCCAAGACUGGUUGCCCACUGAAGCUAAGCUGGGCUGAGCCUGGUCAGUACCUGGAUGGGAGACCUCCUGGGAAAACUAGGUUGCUGCUGGAA
This is a ribosomal RNA of Sinocyclocheilus anshuiensis, 117 nucleotides long. NCBI's taxonomy places the organism in Eukaryota, Metazoa, Chordata, Actinopteri, Cypriniformes, Cyprinidae. The record is from Ensembl.